AUAAUUACCUGGCAGGGGAGAUGCCUCGAUCAAGGAAGUUGGGUCACUCAGGGUGAGGCUCUGCUAUUGCACUCCCUGUUGUACUGACCCCUGUAAAUUCUGUAAAUUUUGCAGUUGUAAAGAUCACCUUCAU
Molecule: small nuclear RNA, 133 nt
Filed under: Larimichthys crocea (large yellow croaker)
Lineage: Eukaryota; Metazoa; Chordata; Actinopteri; Sciaenidae
Description: U1 spliceosomal RNA (ENSLCRG00005019879.1)
Rfam family: U1 spliceosomal RNA
About the family: U1 is a small nuclear RNA (snRNA) component of the spliceosome (involved in pre-mRNA splicing). Its 5' end forms complementary base pairs with the 5' splice junction, thus defining the 5' donor site of an intron.
Source: RNAcentral